UCCCUGGUAGCUCAGAGGGUAAAGCGUUUGCCAAAAAUGCGGAAGACCCAGGUUCAAUCCCUGGGUUGGGAA
This 72-nucleotide transfer RNA is filed under the name Ovis aries (sheep). It matches the Rfam family "tRNA". From Rfam's summary of the family: Transfer RNA (tRNA) molecules are approximately 80 nucleotides in length. Their secondary structure includes four short double-helical elements and three loops (D, anti-codon, and T loops). Lineage: Eukaryota; Metazoa; Chordata; Mammalia; Artiodactyla; Bovidae. The record is from Rfam by way of RNAcentral.